RNAcentral lists this ribosomal RNA (253 nucleotides) under uncultured bacterium. RNAcentral's name for it is "partial 16S ribosomal RNA". It matches the Rfam family "Bacterial small subunit ribosomal RNA", at positions 524 to 776 of the family's 1533-position model. The record is from RNAcentral.
UACGAAGGGGGCUAGCGUUGCUCGGAAUCACUGGGCGUAAAGGGUGCGUAGGUGGGUCUUUAAGUCAGAGGUGAAAUCCUGGAGCUCAACUCCAGAACUGCCUUUGAUACUGAGGAUCUUGAGUUCGGGAGAGGUGAGUGGAACUGCGAGUGUAGAGGUGAAAUUCGUAGAUAUUCGCAAGAACACCAGUGGCGAAGGCGGCUCACUGGCCCGAUACUGACACUGAGGCACGAAAGCGUGGGGAGCAAACAGG